RNAcentral lists this ribosomal RNA (541 nucleotides) under Himasthla interrupta. Its description in RNAcentral is "SSU rRNA". It matches the Rfam family "Eukaryotic small subunit ribosomal RNA", at positions 622 to 1078 of the family's 1831-position model. Lineage: Eukaryota; Metazoa; Platyhelminthes; Trematoda; Plagiorchiida; Himasthlidae. The record is from RNAcentral.
AAAAGCUCGUAGUUGGAUCUGGGUUGCAUGGCUACAUGCCGUCGUUUGUGGGUUUGGUCUGGGAAACCGGAUCAAGCUUGCGAGUCGGUCUAGUGGUUGUGCUUCCUUUCUGCUGUGUCUGUUUACAGGUGUCAGCGUGACUGGUGGGCUUGCCUGUCGGUCUGUUGGCAUGCUUCUUGAUGCCUUUAAACGGGUGUCGGAGGCGGACAGCACGUUUACUUUGAACAAAUUUGAGUGCUCAAAGCAGGCCUUUGUGCCUGAAAAUUCUUGCAUGGAAUAAUGGAAUAGGACUUCGGUUCUAUUUUGUUGGUUUUCGGAUCCGAAGUAAUGGUUAAGAGGGACAGACGGGGGCAUUUGUAUGGCGGUGUUAGAGGUGAAAUUCUUGGAUCGCCGCCAGACAAACUACAGCGAAAGCAUUUGCCAAGGAUGUUUUCAUUGAUCUUGAGCGAAAGUCAGAGGUUCGAAGACGAUCAGAUACCGUCCUAGUUCUGACCAUAAACGAUGCCAACUGACGAUCCGUGGUGGUUCUUUAUGUGUCCCC